GACGAACGCUGGCGGCGUGCUUAACACAUGCAAGUCGAACGCUGAAGCCCAGCUUGCUGGGUGGAUGAGUGGCGAACGGGUGAGUAACACGUGAGUAACCUGCCCCCUUCUUUGGGAUAACGCCCGGAAACGGGUGCUAAUACUGGAUAUUCACUGGCCUUCGCAUGGGGGUUGGUGGAAAGGUUUUUUCUGGUGGGGGAUGGGCUCGCGGCCUAUCAGCUUGUUGGUGGGGUGAUGGCCUACCAAGGCUUUGACGGGUAGCCGGCCUGAGAGGGUGACCGGUCACAUUGGGACUGAGAUACGGCCCAGACUCCUACGGGAGGCAGCAGUGGGGAAUAUUGCACAAUGGGCGAAAGCCUGAUGCAGCGACGCCGCGUGAGGGAUGACGGCCUUCGGGUUGUAAACCUCUUUCGCUCAUGGUCAAGCCGCAGCUUUGGGUUGUGGUGAGGGUAGUGGGUAAAGAAGCGCCGGCUAACUACGUGCCAGCAGCCGCGGUAAUACGUAGGGCGCGAGCGUUGUCCGGAAUUAUUGGGCGUAAAGGGCUUGUAGGCGGUUGGUCGCGUCUGCCGUGAAAUCCUCUGGCUUAACUGGGGGCGUGCGGUGGGUACGGGCUGACUUGAGUGCGGUAGGGGAGACUGGAACUCCUGGUGUAGCGGUGGAAUGCGCAGAUAUCAGGAAGAACACCGGUGGCGAAGGCGGGUCUCUGGGGCCGUUACUUGACUCUUAGGAGCGAAAGCGUGGGGGAGCGAAACAGG
Molecule: ribosomal RNA, 755 nt
Filed under: uncultured Actinomyces sp.
Lineage: Bacteria; Bacillati; Actinomycetota; Actinomycetes; Actinomycetales; Actinomycetaceae
Description: bacterial SSU rRNA
Rfam family: Bacterial small subunit ribosomal RNA
Source: RNAcentral